UGAAAAUAAAUAUCAAAACUAUUGCGGUUGUAAUGAAACGAGCCAAGCCUACAACGCCAUUCCAUAGAUUGUUUACCUUAGUCCAGAUCGGAUAACCCUUCUCGGUCAAGAACUUUUGAGCCACGUUCAUCGCUUCAAGUUUCUCAGCUUUAGUACAUCCUCGGCCGAUCCAAACAAAGAGUCCCGAUCCUGCAGUAUCGAGGAUAAAGCAAUCCUGGGCCACACUGCAAAAUUUUGGAUGCAACUUAUGCGCAAAGCAGAGACUCACCGAAUUUUCGCUUUCAUCGUUCUUCGAAAUCAAACAGUUAAUUGUUGGCGUAUUAGUGAAAGCAAGAAGCGCAAUAAAAAAAAAAAUCAAACGGUUAAUGCGUUUA
This is a long non-coding RNA of Daphnia magna, 374 nucleotides long. RefSeq lists it as uncharacterized. The record is from RefSeq and is a predicted model, not a curated record. Lineage: Eukaryota; Metazoa; Arthropoda; Branchiopoda; Diplostraca; Daphniidae. The transcript is spliced from 3 exons.